CCAGACUCCUACGGGAGGCAGCAGUGGGGAAUAUUGGACAAUGGGGGGAACCCUGAUCCAGCGACGCCGCGUGAGUGAAGAAGUAUUUCGGUAUGUAAAGCUCUAUCAGCAGGGAAGAAAGAAAUGACGGUACCUGAAGAAGAAGCCCCGGCUAACUACGUGCCAGCAGCCGCGGUAAUACGUAGGGGGCAAGCGUUAUCCGGAUUUACUGGGUGUAAAGGGGGCGCAGACGGCGAUGCAAGCCAGGAGUGAAAGCCCGGGGCCCAACCCCGGGACUGCUCUUGGAACUGCGUGGCUGGAGUGCGGGAGGGGCAGGCGGAAUUCCUGGUGUAGCGGUGAAAUGCGUAGAUAUCAGGAGGAACACCGGCGGCGAAGGCGGCCUGCUGGACCGCGACUGACGUUGAGGCUCGAAAGCGUGGGGAGCGAACAGGAUUAGAUACCCCAGUA
RNAcentral lists this ribosomal RNA (447 nucleotides) under uncultured bacterium. Its description in RNAcentral is "bacterial SSU rRNA". It matches the Rfam family "Bacterial small subunit ribosomal RNA", at positions 331 to 792 of the family's 1533-position model. The record is from RNAcentral.